GAGAGAGAGGAAAGAAGGUGAAGAUGGGAAAAAGGAAAGAAGAACAUACCUGGGUUUGCUCUGUAGCGUUCUUUGCUCUUCUUUGGUGGAGAAGUCGAUUACUUUUAUGCUUUUUUUUAAAAAAAAAAUUGGAAUAAACCUAAUUCAAAUUGCAAAUAGAAAAAGAAAAAAAAAGAAUAAUAUCCAUUAGAGAAACUAUGGUGUCAUUUAAGGUAUGAUAUCCUUUGAAUUCAAGUAUACCUUGGGAAUAAAAUGCCAGGGGACAAUGAUGAUCGGUGGGAGCACUCAAAGCACUUAGACUUGUCUGCAGGAGGAAGAAAGACUUGUCCUGCAGGAGGAAGAAAGUGAGAGAAAAAAGAAAGGGCUAAAAGUGGAAACACAUCAUAAAGAUGGAAAAAGUAUACAAGGAAGGGGAGAAAAGGACAAAGGACCACUAUUCCUAAGCAGUAUUGCUUUCUUGCUUCAGCUUUUAUAUAUUACAUAGACACGGACAACUGAAAAUGUUGAGCAAAACUUUUAACUUCCAGUAUGCUGAAAAUGCCUAUGCCUAUCUAGUUAAAAAAAGAAAAAAGAAAAGCUUAUAUCUAUGUCUGUACUCUUUACUGCCCGUGCCACAUAUUUCCAUGCCCUCAAACCACAAGUCCAGUCGAUGACCCAGAAUUGCUGUGACCACCCAAAAGAUUUGAGCUAGUCAGCUCCUCAAGUUUGCCACCAUCUAAAAUGAAUACUCGUUUAGCCAUCAUAACUGUUUCCAACCGAUGAGCAAUCACAAGCACAGUAUGAUUUUCCAUUAAAUGCUGCACAGCUUGCCUCACUAAUAACUCAGACCUGCUAUCUAGAGCAGAAGUUGCCUCAUCCAAAAUCAGUAUGGAAGAAUCCUGAUAGAGUGCCCUUGCAAUAGCUACUCUUUGUUUUUGGCCACCGCUUAAACUUGACCCCCUUGGUCCAAUAUAUGUUUUGUACCCUUUGGGAAGCAUUCUAAUAAAUUCAUCAGCAUUUGCAAUUCUUGCUGCCGCCUCGACCUUCUCCGUGUCUAUUUCUGUCAUCAGAUCCCUGUAUCCAAUGUUUUCAGCAACCGUUCCAGAAAAAAGUGAUAUAUCUUGAGAAACCAAACCAACAUGCCUCCUCAAACUUUCCAACCGGAUGUUUUGGAUAUUUUGGUCAUCAACAAGUAUACAACCAGAUAAAGGAUCAUAAAGUCGAAGAAGCAAUUUAACAAGGGUUGUCUUUCCUCCUCCAGAUGGGCCAACCAGAGCUACUGUCUCUCCAGCUUUAAUAUGAAGGUUCAAUGAGUUCAAAACAAAAGGCCUAUUGUUACCAUACUUAAAUGAGAUAUCACAAAAUUUGAUAUCUCCUGUAACAUUGGCCAGAUCAACAGCAUCUGGUUUCUCAAUCACCUUAGAUUUAAAACUGAUCAAAUCAAACAACCGUUCAAUAGCUGGUUCCCCUUGCUUCCACUCAUUGUAUGCUUUUCCAACAUCCUGGAUUGGCUCAAUCAAGAAAACCAAAGAUGUUACAAAAGAAACCAUGCUACAGCCAUCAAAACAACCACGCGAAAUCACCAGUGAUCCACAACAAAGAGUAAAUAAUGCUCCAAAAUAAAUAAUCUGUAUGAUCUGGGGGAUAAGCGCCUUCAUUUUCUUCUUUUUAAGAUGUUCAGAUAGGUCAGCAUAAGCAAGCCUUUGAAACCUAGCACUCUCACAUAGCUCUGCAUUGUUUGCUUUCACAAAAACAAUGGCUGGGAGGACCUCAUUCAGGUGAGCUGAAAGAGUUGCAAUGCUAAGAUGUGCCUUCUUUGAUAUCUUACGAAGCCUUUCACCAAGAUAUGCAAUAACAAGAGCCAUACAUGGUAUUACCGUGGCUGAAAUCAGGGAUAGGACAGGGCUGAUAGCCCACAUCUGUGUUGCCAUAGCUGAUAACUGCAGAGCGCUAGGCACAGUGGUAUUGAGAAGCGCAUACAAAGUGUCAGCAACAUCCGCAGCUUCAGCAGUAAUUCUGUAAGCAAUAUCACCAGUUGAAACCCCACUCCCUCCCUCAAAAAACCCCAAUUCCCUAUGCAAAACCCUCUCGAAAGCAUGAACCCUGAUCUUAUAACCAGCAUUAAGCGCUGCCUCCCACAAAAGCGCAUGCUGCCAGUACGUGGCAAUCAGCUUGGCCAAUAAGAGAGCAGCGAGCACCAGCCCCUCAUUCCUGAGUGCAACGACAUCGACUUUCCCAAUGGUUGCGGAGAAUUUCCCAAACUUUGGGACGAGGUUGGUAAGGGAGAGAACAGAGACGAAGCUGCAUAGCCAGCCAAGAAGGAUGAGCUUGUGCUGGGAAAGAACAUAGGGUCUGAUUGUGGAAAGAGAGUGGAAUGUGUGGGAAAUUGGAUUCGGUUUGGGAUUUUGUUGGGUGAAAGGGAGGAGAGAGGGAAGGUUGGAGGAAUUGAGGGGUUUGAGUUGGGUGUUUGAAGGGAGUUUGAGAGUAGGGUUAUGGGUUCUGGAAAUGGGAGGAGAGGAAAGGGGCUUUGGUUUGAGGUGGAAGAGAGGAAGACGAGGGAAAGGAGUUUUCGGUUGAAUCUGAAGGGACAAUGCUUUCAUAUUGGAGUUGGAGCGAGAAGACACUAGACUCAAGAGGGAAAACGACGAUUGCGCUGUUAUACAGUUGAUCAAACGAAAUGUCGUUUCUCUCCUGUCGUCUCCUGUGAUUCCUUUGCCGUUUAAUCAAAAGACGAGUUCCAUUAUUUUAUUAUUAUUAUUAUUAU
RNAcentral lists this unclassified non-coding RNA (2743 nucleotides) under Hevea brasiliensis (rubber tree). The record is from RNAcentral. Lineage: Eukaryota; Viridiplantae; Streptophyta; Magnoliopsida; Malpighiales; Euphorbiaceae.